This 468-nucleotide ribosomal RNA is filed under the name uncultured bacterium. RNAcentral's name for it is "bacterial SSU rRNA". It matches the Rfam family "Bacterial small subunit ribosomal RNA", at positions 32 to 507 of the family's 1533-position model. The record is from RNAcentral.
AAUCAACGCUGGCGACGUGCCUAACACAUGCAAGUCGAACGUGAAAGAGAGCAAUCUUGAGUAAAGUGGCGUACGGGUGAGUAACACGUGGGUUAUCUACUUUUUGGUGGGGAAUAACUUAGGGAAACUUAAGCUAAUACCGCAUAAAGUGAUAUUUUAUCUCUAAAGCAAUUUUUUGUGCCAAAAAAUGAGCCUGCGUCCGAUUAGUUAGUUGGUGGGGUAAUGGCUUACCAAGACGAUGAUCGGUAACCGACCUGAGAGGGUGGUCGGUCACACUGGCACUGAAAUACGGGCCAGACUCCUACGGGAGGCAGCAGUGGGGAAUUUUGGGCAAUGGGCGAAAGCCUGACCCAGCAACGUCGCGUGAAUGAUGAAAUCUUUCGGGAUGUAAAAUUCAUAAGUAGGGAAAGAAUAGAAAGCUUAGGCUUUCGAUGACGGUACCUUAUUUAAGCCCCGGCUAACUCCGUG